RNAcentral lists this long non-coding RNA (220 nucleotides) under Malus domestica (apple). RNAcentral describes it as "long non-coding RNA (MDOM_LNC001937)". Lineage: Eukaryota; Viridiplantae; Streptophyta; Magnoliopsida; Rosales; Rosaceae. The record is from RNAcentral.
UAGGCAUAUGAAUGUACAACAAGGGAUCUCUAACCUUCCAUGAUGGAGGGAGAAUACUCUAAGAUAUGAUUCUAAAGUCUUUGGCCAAAGCAAAUGAAUAUGACUAAAGGAAGGUUGUUCCAAAUCAUAUUCAAGGGAAUCAUAUAAGAAAGAAUCACAUUGGAUAGUAGACAUGAAACAAACUAUCACUUAAACAAUGUGAUUAAGAGUAUUGUAUUAG